AGCAGUAGCCGCGGGAAUACGUAGGGUGCAAGCGUUAAUCGGAAUUACUGGGCGUAAAGCGUGCGCAGGCGGUUAUAUAAGUCAGAUGUGAAAUCCCCGGGCUCAACCUGGGAACUGCAUUUGAGACUGUAUGGCUAGAGUGUGUCAGAGGAGGGUAGAAUUCCACGUGUAGCAGUGAAAUGCGUAGAUAUGUGGAGGAAUACCGAUGGCGAAGGCAGCCCCCUGGGAUAACACUGACGCUCGUGCACGAAAGCGUGGGGAGCAAACAGGAUUAGAUACCCGUGUAGCCCUGUCUCUUAUACC
RNAcentral lists this ribosomal RNA (303 nucleotides) under uncultured bacterium. RNAcentral describes it as "partial 16S ribosomal RNA". It matches the Rfam family "Bacterial small subunit ribosomal RNA", at positions 507 to 808 of the family's 1533-position model. The record is from RNAcentral.